This 348-nucleotide unclassified non-coding RNA is filed under the name uncultured fungus. RNAcentral's name for it is "partial contains small subunit ribosomal RNA, internal transcribed spacer 1, and 5.8S ribosomal RNA". The stretch from base 1 to 73 matches the Rfam family "Eukaryotic small subunit ribosomal RNA", at positions 1759 to 1831 of the family's 1831-position model. The record is from RNAcentral. Lineage: Eukaryota; Fungi.
GCAAACUUGGUCAUUUAGAGGAAGUAAAAGUCGUAACAAGGUUUCCGUAGGUGAACCUGCGGAAGGAUCAUUAAUGAAUAAACUUGGUUGAGUUGUUGCUGGCUCUUCUGGAGCAUGUGCACACUCACCAACAGUUUUUCUAAACCCCUGUGCACUUUUUGUAGGCUAGAUUGUUUGACGUCCAUGAGACUCGUUGAGUUUCUAAACGUCUGCUCUCAAGUCUAUGUUUUACAUUAUACCCCGAAUGCAUGUAACAGAAUGUAUUUGAUAGGCUGUCAAAGGCCUUAAAAUUAUAAUACAACUUUCAACAACGGAUCUCUUGGCUCUCGCAUCGAUGAAGAACGCAGC